Notothenia coriiceps (black rockcod) is the source of this 303-nucleotide long non-coding RNA. RefSeq lists it as uncharacterized. The transcript is spliced from 3 exons. Lineage: Eukaryota; Metazoa; Chordata; Actinopteri; Perciformes; Nototheniidae. The record is from RefSeq and is a predicted model, not a curated record.
UUUUCUGUGACUACCACGGCCACUCCAGAAAGAAGAACGUCUUCCUGUACGGCUGCAGUCUGAAGGAGACCCUCUGGCAGUCUGGCUCUUCUGUUAACACUAUGGGAUUAAAAGAGGACCCUGGAUAUAGGACCAUUCCAAAGACCUUGGAUAGCAUCGCACCAGCCUUCUCUUUCAACAGCUGCAACUAUUUGGUGGAGAAAUCCCGCUCUUCCACAGCCAGGGUGGUGGUGUGGAGGGAGAUGGGCGUGCUGAGAAGUUAUACCAUGGAGAGCACUCACAAUGGCUGCGACCAGGGAAUAU